This is a long non-coding RNA of Crotalus tigris (Tiger rattlesnake), 648 nucleotides long. RefSeq lists it as uncharacterized. NCBI's taxonomy places the organism in Eukaryota, Metazoa, Chordata, Lepidosauria, Squamata, Viperidae. The transcript has 3 exons. The record is from RefSeq and is a predicted model, not a curated record.
ACUCGCUUACCGGAGUUUCAGUUUGUCUGCGGGCGAAGCGGCCGGACCCGUCCAGGAAGGCAUCCCGGACCCCGACGGGGCUGGAGAGCGGCCGAGAGAGACCCCCCCCCUCCCCUCCAGCAAUCCGGGACCCGGACAGGCAGCGAGCAGAAGGCGCGGAGAGGAUUGCAAAGGGGCGUCGAGAGAGAGGGAAACCGGAGUGGCUUCGGAUUAAACCGGAGACUGGAAGAGGAUUUAUUUCCAAAGCAGACGUGGGGUUUGGCAGCCGGCAGCCCCCGCUGGCGUAUCUCCUGGCUCCGCCGGCCACCAGCUGGGGGGCUCCGGAUCUGCCCUGUCCCGCUUGGAGCCCCCUUGGGUGGGGAUCAGGAGGAGGAGAAGGAGAGGAGGAGGAGGAAGGCAGCCGCCGGCCAAACAUGAGCCAGCAUGUCUGACAAAAUGUCCAGCUUCCUCUACAUCGGCGAUGUGGUCUCGCUUUACGCCGAGGGCUCGGUCAACGGCUUCAUCAGCACCCUGGGGCUGGUGGAUGACAGGUGUGUGGUUCAGCCCGAAGCAGGUGAUCUUUGCAACCCACCCAAAAAGUUCCGAGGUAUAAUGCCAGAAAAACUUGAUAAGCAAAGUACAUAUUUGAUUCUACAUGUGAUAACAGCG